RNAcentral lists this long non-coding RNA (5691 nucleotides) under Capsicum annuum. RNAcentral's name for it is "long non-coding RNA (CANN_LNC021068)". Lineage: Eukaryota; Viridiplantae; Streptophyta; Magnoliopsida; Solanales; Solanaceae. The record is from RNAcentral.
GGCCCACUCUUUCAAUUAUUACAUAUCACAAAUGUAUAGGUUUCCUAAACCUAUUAUCCGUCUUCUCCGCCGCAUAUCUGGUUGCCUCAGCUAUUCUUCUGAUUCAGAAUUUUGAUGCUUCUUCUGUGGUUUAUCAACCAGGUGUUUUUGUCUGCAGCUGUUUUUAUGCUGAUCAACUUUCAAAAGUUGGUUCUUCCCCCCUUUUUGCUUCCUUUUCUUAUUCUCAUUCUCCAUUAAUGGUUGCUGUGAUUUCUUCAGGUGUGUUCUCCGCUGGAUGGGAUGAAGCUUCUCAUUUUGUUUUGUGUUGAAGUAAACAGGACCCUGUAUUCUAUCUGAGCUUUGUGUAAGUCUUGUCCCUUCAACUUCAUUAAACUUUCAUCCUUGUUCUGAUUACUUGCUCUUCUUUGUAGUUGUCGAAGUGCUGGAGAUACUGGAAUUUUCGGAUCCACUUGCAAGUAGCCUGACCUAUUUUAUCCAGGUGUUUUACUCGCCAACAACUUCCCUGACCUUCUCUUUUUGCCGAAAAUCCUUUUUGAAGGCUGUGGUAAAUUAGGCUAAGAUCUAUCAUUCUCAAAGUAAUGUUGUGUAUUUUUGAACACUAUAGCCUGCUUAGUCCAAUGACUCUCUUGCUGCUCUUAUCCUUAUGUAAGGACACUCUAGUUUGUCACUAUUUAGUAUCUUUCUACCUUGAGACUGUAGUUGAUGAAAGUUUGUGAUUGCAAAAUCUCCUCUGUCAAUGGCAAGAUUUGUUAGAUGAUCUACCAACUGAUUGCCUUCCCUCAUAAUAUGUUGAUAUUGAACUUGCUUAUUCUGCAUUAACUUUCAUGUGUGUUCAACAUAUUCUAUUACAUGCCAAGGACACUUCCAUUCCAUGCUCAGUAUAUUCUGUAUUAACAUUGAAUCAGUUUGUAUGAUUAGCUUUUCCUUCUGUGUUGCAUUAACAUGAAUAGCUGCUUGUAAAAUUGCCUUUGCCUCUGCUUCCACAUUAGAGGUAUCUUCUAUUUUAGCUCCUUCUGCAUAGAUUAGAUCUCCAUUUUCAUUCCUUACACAAAAAGCAUAAGAACUAACCCCUCGAUUGCCUCUAGAUGCCCCAUCAGUAUUAUAAAUCACCCAACCAGAUUGAGAAAUCCCACAUGACCAUUGUAAUCUUCAUUUUAGGCUCCUUUCCUUGUAACUCUUUAAGAAUAUCAAACCAGCUACUAGGAAAAGUUCCUCUUGGGUUUCUUACUUUAAGUAAUAGACCCACAUUUCUUGUAACAUUAAAGAUUACUUUAUGCACAAACAUAUUUUUUCCUUCAUGUUUCAAGCUGUUUCUUCUCCUCCACAGCUCCCAUGUGAUCAUACUUGGGAUGGAUUGAUAGUAAGGCUUGAUUCUUCCUUUGACUUCAUUUGUCCACCAAGUAAGAAUGGUUUCUCUAAGUGAUACUACUUGAUUUAGAAUAUCUGCACAUGAAGCAAAAUAGGACCAAGUCCUGUUGGCUAAUGAUGAUCUAAGAAACACAAGGGAAACUGUUUCUUGAUCAGGCUGCAUACAACACCAACAUUUAAUUGGUCCUUCAACCCCCCAUCUUUUCAUCAUAGCAUCUACUGGCGCCUUUCCUCUCCAUAUUCUCCACAUUAAGAAUGCCAUUUUGAAUGGUAAGCCUGUAACCCAUAUAGAGUUAUAUAUAGCAUUUCUUUCUUGCUUCUGCCUGAUAUACUCUCAUGCUGAUUUCACAGCUGAAUUUGCCAGAAGUUUCCAAUCUCCAAAUAGGGAUAUCCCGUCCAUCUUCUUCAAUUCUGGGCCUUAUUUUAUCUUUAAUAUAUGUAACAACCUCCAUAGGUAGAAUCUACAUCAACAAAGGUUCAUUUCAUUGAAUACCACCAAUUAGCUCCCUAACCUGCUUCAAGCUUUCUGUACCUCUCUGUAUCUGAAGAAUAUUUGAUAAAUCCUCAAUAUCUGUCCAAUUAUCCAACCAUAUAUUAUCCUGACCGCCUCUGUUUCUCCAUAAAAUUUGGUGGUCCACCAAAUCUCUAGCCUGCAACAUUUUCUUCCAUAGUUGAGAUCCUGCACCAAUCUUCCAGAAAAUUUCAUUAGGAUGAUGCUUUCUACAGUAUUUGUUAUGUAAGAACCUACUCCAUAUGGAAUCCUUAGUUCUGAAAUUCCACUAUAGUUUACAAAACAAAGCCAUAGAAACAUCUUGUAACCUUCUGAAACCCAACCCUCCUUCCUCUGCUGGAUAGCAUAAUGAACUCCAUCUCACCCAGUGCCUAUUUUUCUCCCUAAUAUGAUUGCUCCAAAAGAAUUGGGCAAACAUUUUCUGAACAACAGAUAAUACAUUAGCUGGAGGAUUCAUGACAGAAAAACAAUGGAUAGGAAUACUUUGGAGUACACUCUUAAUUAGGACAGCCCUACCACCAUAAGAUAGUAGUUUUCCUUUCCACCCUUAUAGUUUACUGCUUAUCUUCUGCAUAAUUGACUGAAAGUAAUCUUUCUUCUUCCUCAUAUGAAAAAUUGGACAUCCUAAGUAUGUAAAUGGAAAAUCCCUUUUGUUUAUACCUGUAGCAACUUCAGCCAUUAUCACAUUGCCUUGAGAGACUCCUUUGUGCAUGUAAAUUGAACUCUUCUCUUUAUUAAUCUUCUGACCUGACACCUUUUCAUACUUAUCAAGAGUAUCUGUUACUUUCUUUAGAGUAGUCAAAUCAGCUUUGCAAAGUAUAAUCAUGUCAUCAGCAAAAGCAAAGUGGUUGACUUUUGAACUCCCCCUAGGCAUCCCAAAUAGUUUAAAAUUUUUAGUAGAUAACAGUGAUUUAAGAGCUCAGGACACAACCUCAGCUGCUAGAAUAAAGAGUGUAGGUGAUAAAGGGUCUCCUUGCUUUAAACCCCUCGUAGACCUGAAGAAUCCUUUUGGUUGUCCAUUCAACAGAAUAGAAUACCAAUUGGUUACCAAGCAAUCUGUACACCCUGUCAAUCAAAACUUCAGUAAAGCCUAUUUUCCUUAAAACUUUAGUUAGAAACAACCAAUCCACUCUGUCAUAAGUUUUCAUCAUGUCUAACUUUAUGACUAUGUUAGGAGUUUUACCUAUUUUUCUGAUAUCAGCCACAAUCUCCUGUACCAUCGGUAUAUUCUCCGCAAUACUCCUUCCUUGGACAAAACCUGCUUGUUCCUCUGAAAUAACUUUUGGUAACACAUUUUUAAUUCUCUCAUGAAGAAUUCUAGAGAAAUUUUUAUUCAUAAAAUUGCUCAAUGAUAUAGGUCUCAAAUCAGAAAAUGUAUUAAUUACUAACUUUUUAGGUAGAAGAACCAAAUUUUGGUAAAUCAUACCCACAAAAGAAAGCAAUCACCAUUUUGUACAAAUCUUCCUUUAUAAUUUCCCAAGCAUCCUGAAAGAAUGCUUCAGUCAUGCCAUCAGGUCCUGCCGUACUGCUUUUGUUCAGCCCAUUACUGCAUCUUCGACCUCUUGCAUUUCAGGAACCUUAUCAAUAUCUGCAUUCUGCCUUUCAUCUAAAAUAGUAGGAAGUUCUUCCAACAUAUUGAAGUCAGUCUGAUCUUCUUCUUUAGCAAACUGCUUCUGAUAGAACUGUGUGGCAGCUUCUGCAAUUUGAUUAGGCUCAUCCAACCAUUCUUCAUUAUCAUUUUGAAUUCUAUUCAACUUAUUUUUCUUGGAACUCCUUGUUUGCAUGCUAAUGGUACCUUUUAUAGCACCAUUAUGUUUCUUUUUUUGAAUUCCUUGUUUUUAUUUUAGUCUAUCUAUCUGCUUAGAAGACAGAUUCCCAUCAAUUCCCACUCUAUCAGUAGUAUCCUCCAAAUCAACUUCAUCCAUUAAUGUGUUAUCUUUGUUACUGCAUGUUAUCUGCUGCUCCACCUGGAUUGCUAAUGGCAUAAUAUACUCCAUUACACCCAUAUCAUCUUUAUCUUUUUCUGAUUGGAUUAUAGCUAACUGCAUAUUAUCUUGGUCACUGUUUUCUGUGACUUGUUGACUAACUGAUGCAGAACUACCAUAUAAAUCCUUCUCAGUAUGUUGAGAUUGUUUACUCACAUCAUCUGCUGCUGUUUCCUUUGUCUUUUCUUUAUUAGGCUAAAUAAAAGUAUUAUUAACCCAUUCUUUUGUACUCUCUAUGCUAAUCUGUGGGUUUUCUACCUUAUCACUUUGAUCAUUUUGGUUAUUUUCCACAUCAAUCUGAUCAUCAGCAAGUGCCUCAAAGGUAUUAGAGACUGGCAUCUUAUUUGCUUCCUCCUCUAUCUGACCCAAUAUGCGCCCAGAUUUGUCUUUCUUGUACUUAUUCUGUCUCAAGAGCCAUUGUUGUUUAUAUAUUCUCGUUCUUCUUUGCAUAUUAUUCUCUUUUGCUGCAUUAUUUUCCUGGGCACCUUCAUUCUGAUCCUUGUUAUCUUCUUUAUUCUCUUCAUUCUUCUUUUCCAUUAACUCUGGAUGUACAUUCCAACAUGAAUUUUCAUCAUGCCCUUGUAAACAACAUUCCUUGCAAUACUUGGGCUUAUAAUCAUAUUGAAUAUGUACUCAUUUGAAUUUGAUUUCUCCAGUAACAUCAUCCUCUUUAUUAAUCCUAACUCUCGUUGUCAAGUUAGCUACAAGAUCCACUUCCACUUUCACUCGCGCACAGCUAGGUCUUGUUUGGUUUUUAGUAGCCAUAUCCACCAUCAAUGGUUUCCCCACUGCUGAAGCUAUUGAAAAGAUGGCUUUUUUUGCAAAAAAAUUGGGUGGUAGAUCCGGCAUUGAAAUCCAAGCAACUCCUAUGGUUGAUUCUAUAUCAGGAUCAAGCCAAGGAUCCCAUUUUAUAGUUAUCAUCUGCCACAACAUGUCUUUGGCUUUGAUAUAAAAUGCACCUGUAGACAUUAGGUUAACAUAAUCUUCUAGAAUAUUUAAUCUAAUAAGAAUAUGUCGUGCAUCCAAUACUCCAAUAUUGCAAUCACCUUUGAUAUUACAUUGCACUGGUAUUUCUUUCCGCAACUCCAUGAUAUUAGGUUUUCCAUACGAAAGUUUGCCAAUGAUAGCGUAUUGCAAAUUUUCUUGUAUAAUCAAAUCUCUUAAUUCUGAUGAUUUCCAAGUGAUACUAGGUUCACCAUGCAACAUUACCACUGGUUUGGAUAAUAUUUUGCGUAUUACUUUAUCAGCCUAUUUCUCUUUCAAUAAACUUGCAUAAGAAGCCUUCUUAAUUACAUCCUUCUCCAUACGUCCUUCUAUAUCCUUUUUCAUAUGACCCACCGGACGUGGUAGCCAUGGUGGCCAACGUGUAGGCAAACUAUGUUUAGGAUUACGAGUAGGCAAACUACGGUUGCAAUUCUCCGUCUGACACAACCUUAACCAGUAUUACACUAAGGGACUAUCUUACAAGAGAUCCAUAUAACAAGGUGAGAAAUAGGCAACGUAAACUCGAGGAGAAAAUGGAACACACCAAUACAAACAGCUGCCAAAACUGCAGAAGAUGAUGGACCAACCUGCAUAGUCACAACAUGAAUCUAAUUAUACAUAUAAACCCUGAAUCUUCGCCUAUUUACAGGUCCUUGUCGAUUUCAAUCAAUGUAACGUGGCUUUGAAUCCUCUCAAUUGAUAUCUUUACUAUUUUCUUAUUGUCUUCUCGUCUUCCCAAUUGUUCUCUUGUAGAAUGCCAUGGUUUAGAGGUGCUUGAUUUCUCACAUCUAUCUGCUUCAUGGGAUAAAGGCUGAAGACCUAGUAAAUCCUGCUCAGGUGCAC